RNAcentral lists this ribosomal RNA (1347 nucleotides) under metagenome. Its description in RNAcentral is "bacterial LSU rRNA". It matches the Rfam family "Bacterial large subunit ribosomal RNA", at positions 1564 to 2925 of the family's 2925-position model. The record is from RNAcentral.
UGAAUACGAAAUGCUACGGCAUUGAAGUGAUCUAUGCCAUGCUUCCAAGAAAAUCUCGUCAUAUCUUAAAUAAUGAAUGCCUGUACCUAAACCGACACAGGUAGGUAGGUAGAGUAUACCAAGGGGCGCGAGAUAACUCUCUCUAAGGAACUCGGCAAAAUAACCUCGUAACUUCGGAAGAAGAGGUACCCUUGAAAAAGGGUUGCAAUAACCAGACCCUGGCGACUGUUUACCAAAAACACAGGUCUCCGCUAAUUCGUAAGAUCAAGUAUGGAGGCUGACGCCUGCCCAGUGCCGGAAGGUUAAAGAAGUUGGUCAAUCUUUGGAUGAAGCUGGCGACUGAAGCCCCGGUGAACGGCGGCCGUAACGAUAACGGUCCUAAGGUAGCGAAGUUCCUUGUCGGGUAAGUUCCGGCCCGCACGAAAGGCGUAACGAUCAGGGUGCUGUCUCGGAGAGAGACUCGGCGAAAUAGACAUGUCUGUGAAGAUGCGGACUACCUGCACCUGGACAGAAAGACCCAACGAAGCUUUACUGUAUCUUGGAAUUGGGUUUGGGCCUUGUUUGCUCAGGAUAGGUGGGAGGCUAUGAAAAUAUUCUUGUGGGAAUGUUGGAGCCAACGGUGAGAUACCACUCUAGCAAGGCUAAAAUUCUAACUCUGAACCGUUAUCCGGUCAGAGAACAGUUUCAGGUGGGCAGUUUGACUGGGGCGGUCGCCUCCUAAAAGGUAACGGAGGCGCGCAAAGGUUCCCUCGGGCUGGUUGGACAUCAGUCGUAGAGUGUAAAGGCAUAAGGGAGCUUGACUGCGAGACCCACAAGUCGAGCAGAGACGAAAGUCGGCCUUAGUGAUCCGACGGUUCCACGUGGAAGGGCCGUCGCUCAACGGGUAAAAGUUACUCUAAGGAUAACAGGCUGAUCUCCCCCAAGAGUUCACAUCGACGGGGAGGUUUGGCACCUCGAUGUCGGCUCAUCGCAUCCUGGGGCGGUAGUACGUCCCAAGGGUUGGGCUGUUCGCCCAUGAAAGCGGUACGCGAGCUGGGUUCAGAACGUCGUGAGACAGUUCGGUCCAUAUCCGGUGCAGGCGUUAGAGCAUUGAAAGGAGUCCCCCUUAGUACGAGAGGACCGGGGGGAAUACACCGCUGGUGUACCAGUUAUCGUGCCAACGGUAAACGCUGGGUAGCCAUGUGUAGCGUGGAUAACUGCUGAAAGCAUCUAAGUAGGAAGCCCACCUUAAGAUGAGUGCUCUCACCGCUAUAAGCGGGUAAGGUCACGGUAAGAACAACCGUUAUAUAGGCAUUAAGUAUACAUGCAGUAAUGCAUUUAGCUGAGAUGUACUAACAGACCGAGGGC